GGCCUAGCCCGGCCAACCCGCCUGUCCCGGACCGCCCGGCGUCAGGUACGGGUUCACCAAGCCACCCCGCCCACCUCAGGACGCAGCUGCCGGUCCAGCUGCUCCCGCGGGCCCACAGCGCGCUGUGGAAAGGAGCGGACAGGCCAGAGGCUCUCUCGGGCCUACAAGUCUCUAGGCUAGGCAGUGUUUCCGAGUCCCAGGUGCCUCCAGAGGCCGAGCUCACAGCGCGGCCCACCCAGCAUCCGGGGGCGCUGUGAGGGGCGCUCGCCCAGCAGCGGAAAGGCCAUUCGCGUGGCGCGGGAGCGCGGGCCCGGCCGCCUGGGCGUGUCCCUUUCGCGGAACUGAGCUCACUGGCUCCUCUCUUCCAGACGGAGCGACGGGGCCGGCCGCAGCCUCAGCCACGCGUCCCUCGGUGGCGGGCAGGCUCCUCUUGGCCUGCAGCCUUACUUUCAUGCCCUUCUUCACAGUGUACUCAUCAGCACGGCAUAAGGAAAGAGCAGACACGGCUCCUGCCCUCAUAAUGCUUACAGUCUACAGAACAGUGCUGGGGACACAGUCCUGAGUGUUGCCUUCUGAUCAACCACUUAACUGACUGCCUGGCCUCAGGAAAGCAGCUGAGCUUAUCUGUUCUUAGUCUCCUGGGAGAUUAAGAUGAGUGAUCUAGAGGAGGAAGAUGUUGAUGAAUUCAGCUCCAGUGGUUUUAAGUGCCCAACAUGCUUUGCAGUGCAAGGAAGGAAAUGCGAUACAGAACUCAAAUGGUGUGCAGCAGAUAAAAUAAAGUGUAUUGAAUUCUCUGGCAUCAUAAACACAGGUAUUCGUGACGUAGCCAUUGAAAUGAAGAGAUGCACACAAGCAGACCUAUGCAAAGAGACGAUAACUUCUUAGAUGGGUUUUCCAAUUGCUAACAAGAGUAGAAAUUGCAAAUCAGCCAUCAGAAAUGGGGCCAGAAUCAGACCCCCAUCUCCCAUCUUCUUUGUUCUUUUCCUGGGGAGGGUACUUCAUGGAGCUCUGGCAAGAGCCUAGCCACUUCCAUUUAUGAAUUAAACCUGAAUUUUUUUGUUAAUGUAUUCUUUCAUGAGUGUUAAUUUCUCCAUAGUUAUAUUCAGUUGUCCAUUUGUUUACUCAUUCAAUGAGUUUACUUGUUGUGUAUCCAGCCUUGCAUAAAGUGUGUUAGGGUCAAAGUGAAUCAGCUUUGGGUCCCUGCCUUUAAGGUCCCAAAGCAUUUAGAGAAUGAGGACGUGUGCAGUUAAAAUGCUGAGAAAGCAAUUUAAGAAGAACAUAAAAGAGCAGAAGCACUCUGCUUAAGGAGCCUGAGGGAUUGGUUUGGACAUAGGGUAAAAGUAGAAGACUGUGGGUUUGAUUAAGGAAAGAUUGGGAUUUUAGAUGGACUUUGAGGAGACCUUUACUAUAUGGCAGCAGAAAUAACAUGCACUGAGACAUGGACAUGGGGAGAUGGGUGGAGGCUAAGAUGCAGUAGCUGAAAUUAAUGGUAGGAGGAGUGGGGGAGAGGAAAAUGUCAGCAAGUAUAUGGGCCUGGCUGGAAGCAUCUUUCUGAGAGGGAUGGAAAGUGCUGCCCUGGAUGAACACAGUGGACUCACUGAGCUGAGGACAGGCCAGCUCUGUGAUGGAAAACAGUUUCCUUCAAUCCACCAGAGAGAUGAUCAAAAGCCAAGGUCCCUGGUUCUCACUGCUGACUACUUUUUGUUUUGUUUGUUUGUUUGUUUGUUUU
This 1729-nucleotide long non-coding RNA is filed under the name Homo sapiens (human). RNAcentral's name for it is "HSALNT0299688". Lineage: Eukaryota; Metazoa; Chordata; Mammalia; Primates; Hominidae. The record is from RNAcentral.